UACGUAGGGUGCGAGCGUUAAUCGGAAUUACUGGGCGUAAAGAGUGCGUAGGCGGUUCGUUAUGUCUGUGGUGAAAGCCCUGGGCUCAACCUAGGAAUGGCCAUGGAAACUGGCGGGCUGGAGUAUGGCAGAGGGGGGUGGAAUUCCGCGUGUAGCAGUGAAAUGCGUAGAGAUGCGGAGGAACACCGAUGGCGAAGGCAGCCCCCUGGGCUAAUACUGACGCUGAGGAGCGAAAGCGUGGGGAGCGAACAGG
This 253-nucleotide ribosomal RNA is filed under the name uncultured bacterium. Its description in RNAcentral is "partial 16S ribosomal RNA". It matches the Rfam family "Bacterial small subunit ribosomal RNA", at positions 524 to 776 of the family's 1533-position model. The record is from RNAcentral.